Non-coding RNA from Triticum aestivum (bread wheat), 136 nucleotides. NCBI's taxonomy places the organism in Eukaryota, Viridiplantae, Streptophyta, Magnoliopsida, Poales, Poaceae. The record is from Rfam.
UGUGUACUCCCUCCGUUCCAACAUAUUUGACUUCCAUUUGUCCAAAAAUGGAUGUACCUAUAUACUAAAACAUGUCUAGAUACAUCUAUAUUUUGACAAAUAGAAGACAUGUAUUGUGGAACGGAGGGAGUAGAAU